This is a non-coding RNA of Potamilus streckersoni, 69 nucleotides long. Lineage: Eukaryota; Metazoa; Mollusca; Bivalvia; Unionida; Unionidae. The record is from the annotation of a GenBank genome assembly.
GAUUUUCUUAGUGGUUAGAGCGUCUGCCUCAGAUGCGGGAGGUCGUGGGUUCGAUCCCCGGCUGAGUCA